CCUACGGGAGGCAGCAGUGGGGAAUAUUGGGCAAUGGACGUAAGUCUGACCCAGCAACGCCGCGUGAAGGAAGACGGCUUUCGGGUUGUAAACUCCCUUUUAGGGGGAAGAGCAGCAGACGGUACGCCUUGAAUAAGACACGGCUAACUACGUGCCAGCAGCCGCGGCCAUACGUAGGUGGCAAGUGUUAUCCGGAUUUCCUGGGUGUAAAGGGUGUGCUGCCGGGGAGGCAAGUCAGAUGUGAAAUCAGCGGGCUCAACUCGCGAACUGCGUUUGAAACUGGUUCCCUUGAGUAUCGGAGAGGUAGUCGGAAUUCCUGGUGUAGCGGUGAAAUGCGUAGAUAUUAGGAAGAACACCAGUGGCGAAGGCGGAUUACUGGACGACUACUGACGGUGAGGCGCGAAAGCGUGGGGAGCAAACAGGAUUAGAUACCCUAGUAGUC
This 442-nucleotide ribosomal RNA is filed under the name uncultured bacterium. RNAcentral's name for it is "partial 16S ribosomal RNA". It matches the Rfam family "Bacterial small subunit ribosomal RNA", at positions 338 to 795 of the family's 1533-position model. The record is from RNAcentral.